GCUGGGCAUGGUGGCGCAUGCCCAUAAUCCCAGUGGCUCAAGAGGCUGAGGCAGGAGGAUCGUGAGUUCAAAGCCAGGCUCAGCAAAAGCGAGGUGCUGAGCAACUCAGUGAGAUCCUGUCUCUA
Molecule: small RNA, 125 nt
Filed under: Marmota monax (woodchuck)
Lineage: Eukaryota; Metazoa; Chordata; Mammalia; Rodentia; Sciuridae
Source: RNAcentral